Malaclemys terrapin pileata is the source of this 387-nucleotide long non-coding RNA. RefSeq lists it as uncharacterized. The record is from RefSeq and is a predicted model, not a curated record. The transcript is spliced from 3 exons. NCBI's taxonomy places the organism in Eukaryota, Metazoa, Chordata, Testudines, Emydidae.
UGGAAUCGCAUGUCCUGAGAGCUUCCCUUGCAUGGUGUAUUCACCGUGGGCGUGAGAAAGGACAACACCCAUUUGCAGGCUGUGCUUUGGUUCCUGGACCCUGCCCAGAAGCCCAGCUCCCAUCCCUAGCAGCUUGGCUGUUCCAUACCCUGCUGUGCACCAGGCCCUCUGCAGAGAGCUGCUCUGGGCAAGGACUGCAGAGCCAGUAGUCAUCCUGGCAGGUGUAGCCCCAGGUUCCAUAACCCUGACCCAUGGUCUCCCUCCGCUGGCAGGCUCUGAGCAAACCUGCCCAGAGACAUGGAUGACGAGUUCUAGUCCUGCUGACAGCACCCUCCAGCACAGACAAACAUCUCUGAGGGUGGGAAACUGAGACACAGUUGGGACCUG